This 821-nucleotide ribosomal RNA is filed under the name uncultured fungus. Its description in RNAcentral is "eukaryotic LSU rRNA". It matches the Rfam family "Eukaryotic large subunit ribosomal RNA", at positions 30 to 821 of the family's 3401-position model. Lineage: Eukaryota; Fungi. The record is from RNAcentral.
GAACUUAAGCAUAUCAAUAAGCGGAGGAAAAGAAACUAACAAGGAUUCCCCUAGUAACUGCGAGUGAAGCGGGAAAAGCUCAAAUUUAAAAUCUGGUGGUCCCGAGUUGGCUGCCCGAGUUGUAAUCUAGAGAAGUGCUUUCCGCGCUGGACCGUGUACAAGUCUCUUGGAACGGAGCGUCGUAGAGGGUGACAAUCCCGUCUUUGACACGGACUGCCAGGGCUUAUGUGAUGCGCUCUCGAAGAGUCGAGUUGUUUGGGAAUGCAGCUCAAAAUGGGUGGUAAAUUCCAUCUAAAGCUAAAUAUGGGCGAGAGACCGAUAGCGAACAAGUACCGUGAGGGAAAGAUGAAAAGAACUUUGAAAAGAGAGUUAAACAGUACGUGAAAUUGUUGAAAGGGAAACGAUUCAAGUCAGUCGCGUUGGCCGGUAAUCAACCCUUGCGAAGGCGGGGGCUUACUUUCCGUCUGACGGGUCAGCAUCAAUUUUGACCGUCAGAUAAAGGUUUGGGGAACGUGGCAUCUUCGGAUGUGUUAUAGCCCCUUGUCAGAUGUGACGGUUGGGAUUGAGGAACUUGGCACGCCCGCAAAGGGUCAGGGCUUUUUGCCCACGUAACGUGCUUUGGAUGCUGGCAUAAUGGCUUGAACCGACCCGUCUUGAAACACGGACCAAGGAGUCUAACAUGCCUGCGAGUGUUUGGGUGGCAAACUCGAGCGCGAAGUGAAAGUGAAACUUGUCGAGAUCUCUGUCGUGGGGAGCACCGACGCCCGGACCUGACCUUUUGUGAAGGAUCCGCGGUUGAGCAUGCAUGUUGGGACCCGAAA